This 275-nucleotide ribosomal RNA is filed under the name uncultured Desulfobulbus sp. RNAcentral describes it as "partial 16S ribosomal RNA". It matches the Rfam family "Bacterial small subunit ribosomal RNA", at positions 1107 to 1382 of the family's 1533-position model. Lineage: Bacteria; Pseudomonadati; Thermodesulfobacteriota; Desulfobulbia; Desulfobulbales; Desulfobulbaceae. The record is from RNAcentral.
GCCUUUAGUUGCCAGCAGUUCGGCUGGGCACUCUAAAGGGACUGCCGGUGUUAAACCGGAGGAAGGUGGGGAUGACGUCAAGUCCUCAUGGCCUUUAUGACCAGGGCUACACACGUACUACAAUGGCCGAUACAAAGGGCAGCGACACUGCGAGGUGAAGCCAAUCCCGUAAAAUCGGUCUCAGUCCGGAUUGGAGUCUGCAACUCGACUCCAUGAAGUUGGAAUCGCUAGUAAUCGUGGAUCAGCAUGCCACGGUGAAUACGUUCCCGGGCCUU